GAUGAACGCUGGCGGCGUGCCUAAUACAUGCAAGUCGAGCGAGCAGACGAGGAGUUUGCUCCUCUGACGUUAGCGGCGGACGGGUGAGUAACACGUGGAUAACCUACCUAUAAGACUGGGAUAACUUCGGGAAACCGGAGAUAAUACCGGAUAAUAUAUUGAACCGCAUGGUUCAAUAGUGAAAGACGGUUUUGCUGUCACUUAUAGAUGGUUCCGCGCCGCAUUAGCUAGUUGGUAAGGUAACGGCUUACCAAGGCAACGAUGGGGAGCCGACCUGAGAGGGUGAUCGGCCACACUGGAACUGAGACACGGUCCAGACUCCUACGGGAGGCAGCAGUAGGGAAUCUUCCGAAAUGGGCGAAAGCCUGACGGAGCAACGCCGCGUGAGUGAUGAAGGUCUUCGGAUCGGAAAACUCUGUUAUUAGGGAAGAACAAAUGUGUAAGUAACUAUGCACGUCUUGACGGUACCGAAUCAGAAAGCCACGGCUAACUACGUG
RNAcentral lists this ribosomal RNA (497 nucleotides) under uncultured bacterium. RNAcentral describes it as "partial 16S ribosomal RNA". It matches the Rfam family "Bacterial small subunit ribosomal RNA", at positions 28 to 507 of the family's 1533-position model. The record is from RNAcentral.